RNAcentral lists this ribosomal RNA (446 nucleotides) under uncultured bacterium. Its description in RNAcentral is "partial 16S ribosomal RNA". It matches the Rfam family "Bacterial small subunit ribosomal RNA", at positions 330 to 793 of the family's 1533-position model. The record is from RNAcentral.
ACCAGACUCCUACGGGAGGCAGCAGUGGGGAAUAUUGCACAAUGGGGGGAACCCUGAUGCAGCGACGCCGCGUGGGUGAAGAAGUCAUUCGUGACGUAAAGCCCUAUCAGCAGGGAAGAAAAUGACGGUACCUGACUAAGAAGCCCCGGCUAACUACGUGCCAGCAGCCGCGGUAAUACGUAGGGGGCAAGCGUUAUCCGGAUUUACUGGGUGUAAAGGGAGCGCAGACGGCAAUGCAAGCCUGGAGUGAAAGGCGGGGGCCCAACCCCCGGACUGCUCUGGGAACUGUAUAGCUAGAGUGCAGGAGAGGCAAGUGGAAUUCCUAGUGUAGCGGUGAAAUGCGUAGAUAUUAGGAGGAACACCAGUGGCGAAGGCGGCUUGCUGGACUGUAACUGACGUUGAGGCUCGAAAGCGUGGGGAGCAAACAGGAUUAGAUACCCCCGUAU